GCACAUGGUGGAUGCCUUGGCGAUUACAGGCGAUGAAGGACGUAGUAGCUUGCGAUAAGCUGCGGGGAGUGAGCAAACACACUUUGAUCCGCAGAUUUCCGAAUGGGGAAACCCGGCCCUUUGGGUCAUUGCAUGCUGAAUACAUAGGCAUGCAAAGCGAACGCGGCGAACUGAAACAUCUAAGUAGCUGCAGGAAAAGAAAUCAACCGAGAUUCCCAAAGUAGUGGCGAGCGAAAUGGGAUGAGCCUGUACGUGAUAGUCGAAUUGAUAGUGGAACAACCUGGAAAUGUUGGCCAUAGCGGGUGAUAGCCCCGUACACGAAAUUCAGACGGUGGUACUAAGCGUACGACAAGUAGGGCGGGACACGAGAAAUCCUGUCUGAACAUGGGGGGACCAUCCUCCAAGGCUAAAUACUCGUAAUCGACCGAUAGUGAACCAGUACCGUGAGGGAAAGGCGAAAAGAACCCCUGUGAGGGGAGUGAAAUAGAACCUGAAACCGUGUGCAUACAAGCAGUCGGAGCCC
This 523-nucleotide ribosomal RNA is filed under the name Aurantiochytrium limacinum. RNAcentral describes it as "partial Bacterial large subunit ribosomal RNA". It matches the Rfam family "Bacterial large subunit ribosomal RNA", at positions 17 to 582 of the family's 2925-position model. The record is from RNAcentral. Lineage: Eukaryota; Bigyra; Thraustochytrida; Thraustochytriidae.